Molecule: ribosomal RNA, 484 nt
Filed under: uncultured bacterium
Lineage: Bacteria
Description: partial 16S ribosomal RNA
Rfam family: Bacterial small subunit ribosomal RNA
Source: RNAcentral
AUUGAACGCUGGCGGCAGGCCUAACACAUGCAAGUCGAGCGGAUGAAGGGAGCUUGCUCCUGGAUUCAGCGGCGGACGGGUGAGUAAUGCCUAGGAAUCUGCCUGGUAGUGGGGGAUAACGUCCGGAAACGGGCGCUAAUACCGCAUACGUCCUGAGGGAGAAAGUGGGGGAUCUUCGGACCUCACGCUAUCAGAUGAGCCUAGGUCGGAUUAGCUAGUUGGUGGGGUAAAGGCCUACCAAGGCGACGAUCCGUAACUGGUCUGAGAGGAUGAUCAGUCACACUGGAAGUGAGACACGGUCCCGACUCCUAAGGGAGGCAGCAGUGGGGAAUAUUGGACAAUGGGCGAAAGCCUGAUCCAGCCAUGCCGCGUGUGUGAAGAAGGUCUUCGGAUUGUAAAGCACGUUAAGUUGGGAGGAAGGGCAGUAAGUUAAUACCUUGCUGUUUUGACGUUACCAACAGAAUAAGCACCGGCUAACUUCGUG